AUAUCAGUCAUGCAUAGCAUAUCAAUAAGCGGAGGAAAAGAAACUAACAAGGAUUCCCUAGUAACGGCGAGUGAAGCGGGAAGAGCUCAAAUUUGAAAUCUUGAAAGGUUUUCCUUUACGAAUUGUAGUUUAAAGAAGUGUUUUCUGUUAAAAUUUAAUGUAAAAGUUCUUUGGAAUAGGACAUCAUAGAGGGUGAGAAUCCCGUAUUUGACUAUAAUUUUUCAACUUUGUGAUACACUUUCAAAGAGUCGGAUUGUUUGGGAAUGCAGUCCAAAAUGGGUGGUAAAUUUCAUCUAAAGCUAAAUAUUGGCGAGAGACCGAUAGCGAACAAGUACCGUGAGGGAAAGAUGAAAAGAACUUUGAAAAGAGAGUUAAAUAGUACGUGAAAUUGUCAAAAGGGAAGCGUUUGACACCAGUGUUGUUUAUCUGAAAAUCAAUUAAGAACUGUUUUAUGCUAGCUGUUGAAGACUUUAUCAGGCUAUCAGUGUUUAGUUUUGAAGCUUUUCUUUGAAUGCACUUUUCAGAUUAACAAGUCAACAUCAAUUUCUUUUGCUGGAUAAAAGCUUAGAGGAAGGUAGCUUAGAACUUCGUCUUAAGUGUUUAUAGCCUCUAUGCCUAUGCAGUCAGGAGAGAUUGAGGAUCUGCAGCAGUAGAUCCUUCGGGGCUAGAUGCAUUUUGUGCUAGAGUUAUAGCAUUUUAUAGACAACUUGUUGACUAUGAUUUAGUCAUUGAUAGCUUACUCGCGUAAUGUUAGUUUUACCUACGCUUAGGAUGUUGACGCAUGAGAUAUACGC
This 794-nucleotide ribosomal RNA is filed under the name uncultured Neocallimastigales. RNAcentral describes it as "partial large subunit ribosomal RNA". It matches the Rfam family "Eukaryotic large subunit ribosomal RNA", at positions 22 to 647 of the family's 3401-position model. The record is from RNAcentral. Lineage: Eukaryota; Fungi; Neocallimastigomycota; Neocallimastigomycetes; Neocallimastigales.